Molecule: long non-coding RNA, 1818 nt
Organism: Halichondria panicea
Lineage: Eukaryota; Metazoa; Porifera; Demospongiae; Suberitida; Halichondriidae
Exons: 3
Source: RefSeq, a predicted model, not a curated record
ACACUCACAUAAAGUAUAUAAUUAUAUGCAAGUAAAGAUUUUUAAAACAAUGGGUAGAAUGAAUCAGACAGUAAUAAUUAUUAAAAGUUGAUCAUAGAGUUGACAAGUGAUAUUUUAGUACUACAGCUUUUGACCUAAAGUUGUGAGACCUUUAAUAGACUCCAGAUGGUACCAAGAAUUUCUCCCUUAAGACUCUCUUUGGUGUGUUUGAUUUGGUUGCUAAAGCUCCUAUCGCUAAAGCUCCUAUCUUAAACGAAGAGGCACUUGAAUUACCACGUCAAGGUGCAACUGCUGCACUAAGUUUGGCCGCCGCCUCACUUUGGGUCAAUCAAGCGGCAAAAAAGGCUAUUGGCUGUGAGGCCUAUGAGAAGUGCCGGGGUAAAGAUGAGCAUGAUACCCCCAUCUCACCGGGGUUAUAUCUGGCUGGGUUAAAUUGUUCUCAACUUCAUAAUAUAACCGGCUAUUUCAACAGAUAUGCCAUGUGGAAAGUGAAAUGCCAAGAAGCCAACAAAUCAUUGGGAUCUGUAUGUGUCGUCACGGGCGCUGAGACAAAAAUGAAGAUAACAAAAGUAGCUGUAGGACCAUUUGUGAACAUUCUUGAAUUGUGAACAUUCUUGGAUAGUUUGUUUAGGAAGGUUUCCGUCCAUGGUCAAAUGUUAAGUAGGGGGCGUACACAUGCAUGGUGCAAUCCUCUCAGUCCAUCUGAUUGGUUCAUUAGGUGUUGAUCAUGGCGUGGGGGCGUGUCAAUACCCUAAGUACAUUGUACCAUACUUAUUCCAUACUUAUUGGAUUUUGUUAAAAAUAAUCUCGCCAGAGGUUUCUUUUGAGGUUGAAAAAUUAUGUUGAAGUCCAGUGUCGCAUCUACCAUAGAUUGGAAACGAAAAUUUUUGCGUGAAACACUCCGCGUUAUAGAAUGUACUGUACACAACUCCCAAGCCCCCUUACACACACACAGAGGUUGUUUACAGUGCAUUACCUACCUGGGGGGGGGGGGGAGUUAUGUACAGUACAUUAGCUAUAAGCCUGUGUGUGUGUGAUUAUGAGAAUGCAAUGUGACGACUCUUGUGUGUUUAACCCCUGCAGUGUCCCAAUAACCCAAUAACCCAAUAACGAAGACAGAUGGUGCAUGAGCGCGGGGUUAUAUGGCUACUGGCGAUUCCUGAUGAAGGCCGUACCUCAAAGGUCUCGGAAACCGGUCGAAUGAAACAAAUCAACGCCCUUUUGAAAAAAGGGAAAACAAAACAUACACUAACUCUUGUGUUGCUAUAACGCUCUUGAAAACAAAACACUAUAUGUAAUUUCUGUGUUGCUCAUUUGUCACUCCCACUUAUUGUUUUGCAAUUUAUAGUCUACGAUAAAAUUAUAAUGGGCAUGCACAUAACUAAUACAAAACGAGUGCUUCUCACCAUGUUUUUGCUUUCCCUCAACAGUACGUAUUAAUUAAUGUGUUAUAAAUUGCAUGAUUUCAAAUUUGCAAAAUAUAUAAGUGUUAUAGUCUACGAUAAAAUUAUAAUGGGCAUGCACAUAACUAAUACAAAACGAGUGCCUCUCACCAUGUUUUUGCUUUCCCUCAACAGUACGUAUUAAUUAAUGUGUUAUAAUUUGCAUGAUUUCAAAUUUGCAAAAUAUAUAAGUGUUCGCAAUUGAAGCGUUUUUCGUUAUUAUGGGUAUGGUAUUGGCGUAAAAUCAAAUCGCCCAAAAUAAUGUACAAGUGCCACAAUGGGUUGUUACUGUCUGUGGCCUCUAUUCAGCACACAACAUGCAGUGGCAGCAGAAACUGUGGUUUAUUUGCUAUUGCCGCUGCAGUGGAGUAGGAAC